UACGUAGGGGACGAGAGUUGUCCGGAAUUACUGGGCGUAAAGGGCGCGCAGGCUGUGCUGCAAGUCAGCUGUGAAAUGUCUGGGCUUAACCCGGGCAUGCGGUUGAGACUGCAGUGCUGGAGUGCUGUAGAGGCAAGUGGAAUUCCCAGUGUAGCGGUGAAAUGCGUAGAUAUUGGGAAGAACACCGGUGGCGAAGGCGACUUGCUGGGCAGCAACUGACGCUGAGGCGCGAAAGCCAGGGGAGCAAA
RNAcentral lists this ribosomal RNA (248 nucleotides) under uncultured prokaryote. RNAcentral describes it as "partial 16S ribosomal RNA". It matches the Rfam family "Bacterial small subunit ribosomal RNA", at positions 524 to 772 of the family's 1533-position model. The record is from RNAcentral.